This 437-nucleotide ribosomal RNA is filed under the name uncultured bacterium. RNAcentral's name for it is "bacterial SSU rRNA". It matches the Rfam family "Bacterial small subunit ribosomal RNA", at positions 28 to 481 of the family's 1533-position model. The record is from RNAcentral.
GACGAACGCUGGCGGCGCGCCUCAUACAUGCAAGUCGAACGAGAAGCCUGGAGCUUGCUCUGGGUGGAGAGUGGCGAACGGGUGAGGAACACGUGAGGAACCUGCCCCGAAGACUGGGAUAACACCGGGAAACCGGUGCUAAUACCGGAUGUCCUCAUCGGACCGCAUGAUCCGAUGAGGAAAUGGAUUCCGCUUCGGGAUGGCCUCGCGGCCUAUCAGCUUGUUGGUGGGGUAACGGCCCACCAAGGCUUCGACGGGUAGCUGGUCUGAGAGGAUGUCCAGCCACACUGGGACUGAGACACGGCCCAGACUCCUACGGGAGGCAGCAGUAGGGAAUCUUGCGCAAUGAGCGAAAGCUUGACGCAGCGACGCCGCGUGCGGGAUGAAGGCCCUCGGGUCGUAAACCGCUUUCAGCAGGGACGAAAUUGCGGUACCUG